GCCCCUUCCAAGGCGCCAUCCGCGCCACCUGCCGCCCCGGCCCGGCCGCGGAAGGCGCGGUGCCGCCCAGCGCGGCCGAGGCGGGAACAGCGCCGCCCCCGGCAGGACCCGGGGGGGCGGCGAGGGGAGGCGGCCCUGGGGCGGCAUCGGGACCCGCCGAAGCGCCAGGCGGGCCGGGCCGGGCCGCGGGAGGCUCAGUUCACCGACCUCAAACUGUGUGCGUGUUUGAAGGGAAGCUGUGGAAAACUGGUGCAGGACGAGAGCUCCACUGAAGUCGGUGUACGUGUGGGCGGGAGGGUGCCUGAGAUGGCAGCUGGGCUUCGGCGGCGCCUCCACCAGGCGGGACCGACCCCAGCCGGGCACAGGAGGGACAAGGCCCUUACCCUGGGCCUCCCUCGCGGUGGGAGUGCAUCACAAGUGGACACACAGGAAGAUCCUUGCAUGUAGGGCCAGCAAACCACACAAAUACGCUUUCACUGAUGGCCGUUUGUCUGCUUUCACUGCAUUUGAGAGAUCUUGCAUUUUUGUAGAGUAAUGAGAUGAAAUAUCAUAUUAAAUCCUGUAGAAGUGAUCCAUGCAAAUUUGUCUACCAGCAUGUAUUCAUCACCGUGAUCUAUCCACAUUUAAUAACGUGGAAAAAGUGCUGAUGACUGCAGAAUAGUUAAUAAAUGGAUGAAAAAUAAUAGUCUGGUUUAAGAUAUUCCCUGAGCAGAUAAAGCAGCUAAAUUUGUCUGAUUCAUUAUUUUUUUUGCAAAUAAUGUGCUCAGCACUAAUUAGACAUACUAGAGUAACAUGCUACUGGGGUAAGGGAUGUAUUACUAUGAGACUGUCACAAUCCCUUCCAGCUAUAGAUAGAUAUAUGAAUAUAAACAUACAAGACUUGACCUAAUAAGACUUGGAUGCUGUUAAUAUUUCACUUGUGUCUUUUCCCGGGCGAGUACAAUCCACUGAAAUCAAAAGUGCAGCACCAGUACCUAAAGCUAAGCUAGGAAGUUUUACAGGUGUCAAUGCCAGGUGCCACACAGCAGGACAAGCAUGAGAGCGCAACACUGUGGACUGUCAUUACAAAAAGAAAUCCUAUUUAUCACAGGGAAAAAAAAUCAAUCCUUACUAUAAAUAACUGUUCAACAUUACAUAAUGUUUGAAUUCCAAUAACAAUCAAAAGUCCAAAUAAAGUGCCAGGCCCCAGUGAGAAA
Pseudopipra pipra is the source of this 1196-nucleotide long non-coding RNA. RefSeq lists it as uncharacterized. The transcript is spliced from 2 exons. The record is from RefSeq and is a predicted model, not a curated record. Lineage: Eukaryota; Metazoa; Chordata; Aves; Passeriformes; Pipridae.